This 1086-nucleotide long non-coding RNA is filed under the name Bemisia tabaci. RNAcentral's name for it is "lncRNA ENSSSA1UGG006752". Lineage: Eukaryota; Metazoa; Arthropoda; Insecta; Hemiptera; Aleyrodidae. The record is from RNAcentral.
UGUUCAAAAAUUCUCCCAAAACACUCCAUUGUUAGCCGUUGCACCAAUAUUUUAAGUUUUACGGAAUUGAGAUGGGCGCAUUUUUCCUUUUAUGAAGGAAAGACACAAUUAUAUGCUGGGGUAAAUUAUCCUAAUUCAAGGAAGUUGGAAAUAAAAUAAUGAUCUCUGUACAUUCGUGCAGCGGUAUAGCAAAUGCACCCCCCCCCCUCCGCCGGAGAAAAGGAGGAAGAAGCAAGGAACGGAGGUAAAAUUUUUGCACUUUAUAUUCGAACUGCAUAUUAUUAGAUUUAAAAUGUCGACAAUUUUCCGGGGGGAGCCCCCCGUGGCCCCAUGCACCUGUCCCGCUCGAAUUGUCUGGAAAAUUUUGUAUAUCUACAAGUAAAUCUUGUUUAUUUAAAGGGAAUAAAAUCUUUUACUCAAAUCUUGAAAGAUAUCCUGGCAUUCAAUUUCAAAUUUCCCUCGUGAAUCUGUUGACAUCGAUGAUGACCAGUGCGGCGGUAUGUUGUACGGUGCAAAUUCGGCGGGUACUUGCAUUUUGCUCGCUUGCAGUUUACCGCGAACCGGAAGCGAACAAGGCAAGGCAAGUCAUUAUUUAUAUCCAGCAUUACGUCAUACAAAGAGUGUGUCGUUGCCCGCCUGCAUUGUUGCUGGCCGUCCAACAGACUUUUUCACUCGAAUUACGUCACGACUUAUUAUCAACGCAUUUACUUGCGCUCAUGCAUUUUUGAAUCAGCCUUUCUGGCGAAUUUGAUUUGUCGCCUGGGAAUUGUCGAAUUGUCAAAUGGCGAUAAUUUGCCACAGUAUUCGGUUAGUGUUUUAAGAUUAGUUCUAUUCGUUUUCAAUGAGCAAAUUCCUCCGUUAGUGGCGUCCUUAUCACUCUUCAAUUUGAAAAUGGUUCACGGGCUGUCUACAACGCCUAACCCCACCUGGAGGCUUCGAAGCAAUGGCCACACAAAAAUCACCACCGAGUCGCCAAACCGAACGCCACAUAAAAUCCAAUUAACUCCUCCACAGCCUCUGGCUUCCCUUCAAAGCUCUCCUGCCGAGAGCAGAACCAGAAGAAGGUAUGUUACGUACAACAUGUAG